GACGAACGCUGGCGGCGUGCCUAACACAUGCAAGUCGAACGGUGAAUGCGGGAGCUUGCUCCCUCCGGAUCAGUGGCGAACGGGUGCGUAACACGUGAGCAAUCUGCCCCGAACUCUGGGAUAAGCGUUGGUAACGACGUCUAAUACCGGAUACGACGCGGGAGGGCAUCCUCCCCGCGUGGAAAGAACUUCGGUUCGGGAUGAGCUCGCGGCCUAUGAGCUUGUUGGUGAGGUAACGGCUCACCAAGGCGACGCCGGGUAGCCGGCCUGAGAGGGUGACCGGCCACACUGGGACUGAGAGACGGCCCAGUCGGCUACGGGCGGCAGCAGUGGAGAAUAUUGCACAAUGGGCGCAAGCCUGAGGCAGCAGCGCCGCGUGCGGGACGACGGCCUUCGGGUUGUAAACCUCUUUUAGCAGGGAAGAAGCGAAAGUGACGGUACCUGCAGAGAAAGCACCGGCUAACUACGUG
Molecule: ribosomal RNA, 470 nt
Filed under: uncultured bacterium
Lineage: Bacteria
Description: partial 16S ribosomal RNA
Rfam family: Bacterial small subunit ribosomal RNA
Source: RNAcentral